RNAcentral lists this ribosomal RNA (497 nucleotides) under uncultured bacterium. Its description in RNAcentral is "partial 16S ribosomal RNA". It matches the Rfam family "Bacterial small subunit ribosomal RNA", at positions 28 to 507 of the family's 1533-position model. The record is from RNAcentral.
GAUGAACGCUGGCGGCGUGCCUAAUACAUGCAAGUCGAGCGAACGGACGAGAAGCUUGCUUCUCUGAUGUUAGCGGCGGACGGGUGAGUAACACGUGGAUAACCUACCUAUAAGACUGGGAUAACUUCGGGAAACCGGAGCUAAUACCGGAUGAUAUUUUGAACCGCAUGGUUCAAAAGUGAAAGACGGUCCUGCUGUCACUUAUAGAUGGAUCCGCGCUGCAUUAGCUAGUUGGUAAGGUAACGGCUUACCAAGGCAACGAUGCAUAGCCGACCUGAGAGGGUGAUCGGCCACACUGGAACUGAGACACGGUCCAGACUCCUACGGGAGGCAGCAGUAGGGAAUCUUCCGCAAUGGGGGAAAGCCUGACGGAGCAACGCCGCGUGAGUGAUGAAGGUCUUCGGAUCGUAAAACUCUGUUAUUAGGGAAGAACAUAUGUGUAAGUAACUGUGCACAUCUUGACGGUACCUAAUCAGAAAGCCACGGCUAACUACGUG